AGUCGAACGGAUCCUUCGGGAUUAGUGGCAGACGGGUGAGUAACGCGUGGGAAGCUACCUUGUGGUAGGGGACAACAGUUGGAAACGACUGCUAAUACCCUAUGAGCCCUAUGGGGGAAAGAUUUAUCGCCAUGAGAUGUGCCCGCGUUAGAUUAGCUAGUUGGUAAGGUAAUGGCUUACCAAGGCGACGAUCUAUAGCUGGUCUGAGAGGAUGAUCAGCCACACUGGGACUGAGACACGGCCCAGACUCCUACGGGAGGCAGCAGUGGGGAAUAUUGGACAAUGGGGGCAACCCUGAUCCAGCCAUGCCGCGUGUGUGAUGACGGCCUUAGGGUUGUAAAGCACUUUCAGCAGUGAAGAUAAUGACAUUAACUGCAGAAGAAGCCCCGGCUAACUUCGUGCCAGCAGCCGCGGUAAUACGAAGGGGGCUAGCGUUGUUCGGAAUCACUGGGCGUAAAGAGUACGUAGGCGGACUGAUAAGUUAGGGGUGAAAUCCCAAGGCUCAACCUUGGAACUGCCUUUGAUACUGUCAGUCUUGAGAUCGAGAGAGGUGAGUGGAACUCCGAGUGUAGAGGUGAAAUUCGUAGAUAUUCGGAAGAACACCAGUGGCGAAGGCGGCUCACUGGCUCGAUACUGACGCUGA
This 643-nucleotide ribosomal RNA is filed under the name Pseudovibrio sp. Pv65. RNAcentral's name for it is "bacterial SSU rRNA". It matches the Rfam family "Bacterial small subunit ribosomal RNA", at positions 60 to 749 of the family's 1533-position model. Lineage: Bacteria; Pseudomonadati; Pseudomonadota; Alphaproteobacteria; Hyphomicrobiales; Stappiaceae. The record is from RNAcentral.